GGUUGCUUCAUCACUCAGCUUUGUUUCUAGCCUUGCUGCCCUACACUUAAUGGAAAGGGAUAAAAGAUAGAAGUGCUUCAACAAAGGGACCACAAGAUGGUCAAAGCUUCAAAGCACUGCCAUAAUACCAUCCUGGAUGAGAGUGGUAAUAUACCAAACAGCAGUUCUUCAACAACAUUUGAAAGUUUAUUCUCCAUCUCAAAAGCAAAUUAGACAGAGGUACUUUCUCCCUCUCAAAUAUGAAAAACACUGUGAAAAGAGUGAUGGUCAGUCUGUUCCAUUUCUCCAACUCAGCCAUUCACUCAUUUAG
RNAcentral lists this long non-coding RNA (310 nucleotides) under Struthio camelus australis. RNAcentral describes it as "lncRNA (ENSSCUG00000016276.1)". The record is from RNAcentral. Lineage: Eukaryota; Metazoa; Chordata; Aves; Struthioniformes; Struthionidae.